GGCAAGCAUCUUCUUGUUUUUAAAGACCUAGCAAUAGGUAUGCUUAGGGAGGAGCUUGCGUCACAUUAGUUAGUUGGUGGGGUAAAGGCCUACCAAGACUAUGAUGUGUAGCCGGGCUGAGAGGUUGAACGGCCACAUUGGGACUGAGACACGGCCCAAACUCCUACGGGAGGCAGCAGUAGGGAAUUUUCGGCAAUGGAGGAAACUCUGACCGAGCAACGCCGCGUGAACGAUGAAGUAUUUCGGUACGUAAAGUUCUUUUAUUAGGGAAGAAUAAAUGAUGGAAAAAUCAUUCUGACGGUACCUAAUGAAUAAGCCCCGGCUAACUAUGUGCCAGCAGCCGCGGUAAUACAUAGGGGGCAAGCGUUAUCCGGAAUUAUUGGGCGUAAAGGGUGCGUAGGCGGUUAAAUAAGUUUAUGGUCUAAGUGCAAUGCUCAACAUUGUGAUGCUAUAAAAACUGUUUAGCUAGAGUAAGAUAGAGGCAAGUGGAAUUCCAUGUGUAGUGGUAAAAUGCGUAAAUAUAUGGAGGAACACCAGUAGCGAAGGCGGCUUGCUGGGUCUUUACUGACGCUGAGGCACGAAAGCGUGGGGAGCAAACAGGAUUAGAUACCCUGGUAGUCCACGCCGUAAACGAUGAGUACUAAACGUUGGGUAAAACCAGUGUUGAAGUUAACACAUUAAGUACUCCGCCUGAGUAGUACGUACGCAAGUAUGAAACUUAAAGGAAUUGACGGGACUCCGCACAAGCGGUGGAUCAUGUUGUUUAAUUCGAAGGUACCCGAAAAACCUCACCAGGUCUUGACAUGCUUCUGCAAAGCUGUAGAAACACAGUGGAGGUUAUCAGUUGCACAGGUGGUGCAUGGUUGUCGUCAGCUCGUGUCGUGAGAUGUUGGGUUAAGUCCCGCAACGAGCGCAACCCUUAUUGUUAGUUACCAGCACGUAAUGGUGGGGACUUUAGCAAGACUGCCAGUGAUAAAUUGGAGGAAGGUGGGGACGACGUCAAAUCAUCAUGCCCCUUAUGACCUGGGCUACAAACGUGAUACAAUGGCUGUUACAAAGGGUAGCUGAAGCGCAAGUUUUUGGCGAAUCUCAAAAAAACAGUCUCAGUUCGGAUUGAAGUCUGCAACUCGACUUCAUGAAGUUGGAAUCGCUAGUAAUCGCGAAUCAGCAGUCGCG
This 1176-nucleotide ribosomal RNA is filed under the name Rice orange leaf phytoplasma. RNAcentral's name for it is "bacterial SSU rRNA". It matches the Rfam family "Bacterial small subunit ribosomal RNA", at positions 181 to 1361 of the family's 1533-position model. The record is from RNAcentral. Lineage: Bacteria; Bacillati; Mycoplasmatota; Mollicutes; Acholeplasmatales; Acholeplasmataceae.